Long non-coding RNA from Mugil cephalus (flathead mullet), 408 nucleotides. RefSeq lists it as uncharacterized. Lineage: Eukaryota; Metazoa; Chordata; Actinopteri; Mugiliformes; Mugilidae. The transcript is spliced from 3 exons. The record is from RefSeq and is a predicted model, not a curated record.
UAUCAUCAUGGAUCUUCACUGAAGUGAUGUCAUGUGUUUUGAUUUCAUGUGUGUUAACAUGUUUAGCUGAUUUAGCUUCUUUCCUCUGGACUGGUUGUCGUCCUCUCAGGUAUUACACACCGUAUUACACUGUCAUCUUUGAAAUUCGUUAACGCCAGAGGAGGCCAGGUCAGAAAUGUUAAUACACUUAGUUUUGUAUUUAGUGUGUUGCAGACGUUUGAUAGUCCUUCAUCCAAGUCUUCGUCCUGGUCAUCAUUUUCCUGUCUGUCUUCCUGCUGAUUAGAAGAAAGAGAUCCUGGAAACAAACCUCAGGGUCCAGACAAAGAUCAAACAACAAAGCAGAGUCAAGUGUGGGUCCAGAAAAUGACAACCCUGCAGCUACAACACAGAGAAUAUCAGCAGAGCAGC